This 1238-nucleotide ribosomal RNA is filed under the name metagenome. RNAcentral's name for it is "bacterial LSU rRNA". It matches the Rfam family "Bacterial large subunit ribosomal RNA", at positions 1564 to 2813 of the family's 2925-position model. The record is from RNAcentral.
UGAGUACGAGACGCUAAGGCGUCGAAGUAGUGGAUGUCAUACUUCCAAGAAAAGCUUGCACUGUCAUAAAUAAAAACGCCUGUACCAUAACCGACACAGGUGGGUAGGUAGAGUAUACUAAGGGGCGCGAGAUAACUCUCUCUAAGGAACUCGGCAAAAUAACUCCGUAACUUCGGGAGAAGGAGUGCCUUAUUCGUAAGGCUGCAAUAACAAGAUCCAAGCAACUGUUUAUCAAAAACACAGGUCUCCGCUAAGUCGUAAGACGAUGUAUGGGGGCUGACGCCUGCCCAGUGCCAGAAGGUUAAAGAAGUCGGUUAGCAUUAGCGAAGCUGGUAACUGAAGCCCUGGUGAACGGCGGCCGUAACGAUAACGGUCCUAAGGUAGCGAAAUUCCUUGUCGGGUAAGUUCCGACCCGCACGAAAGGCGUAAUGAUUUGGAUACUGUCUCGGAGAGGGGCUCGGUGAAAUAGACUUGUCUGUGAAGAUGCGGACUACCUGCACCAGGACAGAAAGACCCUAUGAAGCUUUACUGUAACUUGAAAUUGAAAUUGGACUUUAUUCGCGCAGUAUAGGUGGGAGGUGUUGAUUAUAAUCUUGCGGGAUUAUUGGAGCCAUCAGUGAGAUACCACUCUUGUAAUGUUAGAUUUCUAACUUUGAAUCAUUAUCUGGUCAAAGAACAGUUUCAGGCGGGCAGUUUGACUGGGGCGGUCGCCUCCUAAAUGGUAACGGAGGCGUACAAAGGUUUCCUCUGAACGGGUAGAAAUCGUAUCUAGAGUGUAAAGGCAUAAGGAAGCUUGACUGUGAGACCUACAAGUCGAGCAGGGACGAAAGUCGGUCUUAGUGAUCUGACGGUACUGAGUGGAAAGGCCGUCACUCAACGGAUAAAAGUUACUCUAAGGAUAACAGGCUGAUCUCCCCCAAGAGUUCACAUCGACGGGGAGGUUUGGCACCUCGAUGUCGGCUCAUCGCAUCCUGGGGCGGUAGUACGUCCCAAGGGUUGGGCUGUUCGCCCAUGAAAGCGGUACGCGAGCUGGGUUCAGAACGUCGUGAGACAGUUCGGUCCAUAUCCGGUGUAGGCGUUAGAAUAUUGAGAGGAGCCUUCUUUAGUACGAGAGGACCGAGAAGGACAUACCUCUGGUGUACCAGUUAUCGUGCCAACGGUAAACGCUGGGUAGCUAUGUAUGGAGUGGAUAACCGCUGAAAGCAUCUAAGUGGAAAGCCACCUCAAGAUAAGUAUAC